Molecule: long non-coding RNA, 694 nt
Organism: Brienomyrus brachyistius
Lineage: Eukaryota; Metazoa; Chordata; Actinopteri; Osteoglossiformes; Mormyridae
Exons: 6
Source: RefSeq, a predicted model, not a curated record
CUGUACUUGUGAACCGAUACUGACAGGGGUUCAUAAGUUUGACAGAAAAAAAGUGUCUAAAAAUACAUCUGGCAAGUUUGCCUCCAAUGACGGUGCUUUUAGGACGUCACCUGAACAGCAGAAAAGUAAAUCAUUUGAAAUCAAAUUGCAGCCACAGAGGUAAUCGUCUUCGCCUCAUUUUGUAUUACCAAUCAAAGCAAUAGCAGUAUUUAGUCUCGCUGCGUCAGCGCCGCUGAUAAAUCAUCGUGAAAGCGGAUGAAAUGGGAAAUCGAUGGAAAGGCGAAUGCCGUUCUGUGCCCCGUAUCGCCGCCACGAACACCUGUAAUUACCUGGAAAAUGGCGCGAUUGCUUGCGCUCUACCGCGUGGACUCAAGGCAGAUGGGAGCGGCGUUCAGCACAGAAGGAGAUGAGGGAAUCUGAGGAAACUGAAGACAGACCUCCAGCACAAACAACUGGAACAUAAAUGUCUUCCUGGCAACAUCAGGUUGUGAAAAAAAAUUAUAUAAAACCAAGAAGAGGUUAGUUCUAAGGUCACAUGAUCAGCAACAUGUCUGGUAACAGCACACGUCAAAGGUCAUGACAGCAGAAGUCAUGCAGCAUCGUUAUUCUUUCCAUUUUCUUUCUGGGCAUGGCAGAAGACACGUCAGUCAUUAAAGGGGAAAAGAACAGAAGAAGAAAUUAAUUAUGAACAGAC